UGGGGAAUAUUGCACAAUGGGCGCAAGCCUGAUGCAGCCAUGCCGCGUGUAUGAAGAAGGCCUUCGGGUUGUAAAGUACUUUCAGUCGGGAGGAAGGUGGUAAGGUUAAUAACCUUGGCAAUUGACGUUACCGACAGAAGAAGCACCGGCUAACUCCGUGCCAGCAGCCGCGGUAAUACGGAGGGUGCAAGCGUUAAUCGGAAUUACUGGGCGUAAAGCGCACGCAGGCGGUUGAUUGAGUCAGAUGUGAAAUCCCCGGGCUUAACCCGGGAAUUGCAUCUGAUACUGGUCAGCUAGAGUCUUGUAGAGGGGGGUAGAAUUCCAUGUGUAGCGGUGAAAUGCGUAGAGAUGUGGAGGAAUACCGGUGGCGAAGGCGGCCACCUGGACAAAGACUGACGCUCAGGUGCGAAAGCGUGGGGAGCAAACAGG
Molecule: ribosomal RNA, 429 nt
Filed under: Chloroflexota bacterium
Lineage: Bacteria; Bacillati; Chloroflexota
Description: Chloroflexi bacterium partial 16S ribosomal RNA
Rfam family: Bacterial small subunit ribosomal RNA
Source: RNAcentral